Molecule: ribosomal RNA, 1346 nt
Filed under: uncultured bacterium
Lineage: Bacteria
Description: bacterial SSU rRNA
Rfam family: Bacterial small subunit ribosomal RNA
Source: RNAcentral
UGAACGCUGGCGGCGUGCUUAACACAUGCAAGUCGAACGAAGCACUUUUAAUUCUUCGGAAGAGGAAGUGACUGAGUGGCGGACGGGUGAGUAACGCGUGGGUAACCUGCCUUAUACAGGGGGAUAACAGUUAGAAAUGACUGCUAAUACCGCAUAAGCCGAUAGAGUCGCAUGACUUAGUCGGAAAAGAUUUAUCGGUAUAAGAUGGACCCGCGUCUGAUUAGCUAGUUGGUGAGGUAAAGGCCCACCAAGGCGACGAUCAGUAGCCGGCUUGAGAGAGUGAACGGCCACAUUGGGACUGAGACACGGCCCAAACUCCUACGGGAGGCAGCAGUGGGGAAUAUUGCACAAUGGGGGAAACCCUGAUGCAGCAACGCCGCGUGAAGGAAGAAGUAUUUCGGUAUGUAAACUUCUAUCAGCAGGGAAGAAAAUGACGGUACCUGACUAAGAAGCCCCGGCUAACUACGUGCCAGCAGCCGCGGUAAUACGUAGGGGGCAAGCGUUAUCCGGAUUUACUGGGUGUAAAGGGAGCGUAGGUGGUAUGGCAAGUCAGAUGUGAAAGCCCGGGGCUCAACCCCGGGACUGCAUUUGAAACUGUCAGACUAGAGUGCAGGAGAGGUAAGUGGAAUUCCUAGUGUAGCGGUGAAAUGCGUAGAUAUUAGGAGGAACACCAGUGGCGAAGGCGGCUUACUGGACUGUAACUGACACUGAGGCUCGAAAGCGUGGGGAGCAAACAGGAUUAGAUCCCCCUGGUAGUCCACGCCGUAAACGAUGAAUACUAGGUGUCGGGAAGCAUAAGCUUUUCGGUGCCGCAGCUAACGCAAUAAGUAUUCCACCUGGGGAGUACGUUCGCAAGAAUGAAACUCAAAGGAAUUGACGGGGACCCGCACAAGCGGUGGAGCAUGUGGUUUAAUUCGAAGCAACGCGAAGAACCUUACCAAAUCUUGACAUCCCUUUGACGUACACUUAAUCGUGUAUUCCCUUCGGGGCAAAGGUGACAGGUGGUGCAUGGUUGUCGUCAGCUCGUGUCGUGAGAUGUUGGGUUAAGUCCCGCAACGAGCGCAACCCUUAUCUUUAGUAGCCAGCAGUUCGGCUGGGCACUCUAGAGAGACUGCCGGGGAUAACCCGGAGGAAGGCGGGGAUGACGUCAAAUCAUCAUGCCCCUUAUGAUUUGGGCUACACACGUGCUACAAUGGCGUAAACAAAGGGAAGCAAAGUCGUGAGGCCGAGCAAAUCCCAAAAAUAACGUCUCAGUUCGGAUUGUAGUCUGCAACUCGACUACAUGAAGCUGGAAUCGCUAGUAAUCGCGAAUCAGAAUGUCGCGGUGAAUACGUUCCCGGGUCUUG